CAGCACGUCUUGAUCUUCCAUCUCCUGCAACUGACCGACACCUGUCUGACCUUUGACUAUAUCAGCAUCAGACUGAUGAAACAGCUGAUGACCUGUGUACACAGCCAAAGGCUGGUAUUCAGGCACUAUCCUGUCUGGUACAAAUUGCGCCAGUGAGACGAUCAUUGAUUAACGACAUAGAGCGUGCCAAAUUUCUCAACGAGCUAGUGACUGAUGUUUGCAGCAUUCUAGAAAACCCACAGAGCCUGUCACUGUUCAGGAGAGACGUGAACGACUCGCUGAAGGCGACCAACGGACAGAGUCCCACCCACUGUACACAGUUCCUGGACAUGAUGAGCUAGUACACAGCAGGCUGCACGUCAUGUGACCUCAUCAUGU
Molecule: long non-coding RNA, 378 nt
Organism: Magallana angulata
Lineage: Eukaryota; Metazoa; Mollusca; Bivalvia; Ostreida; Ostreidae
Exons: 3
Source: RefSeq, a predicted model, not a curated record